Molecule: transfer RNA, 73 nt
Filed under: Labracoglossa argenteiventris (yellowstripe butterfish)
Lineage: Eukaryota; Metazoa; Chordata; Actinopteri; Centrarchiformes; Kyphosidae
Description: tRNA-Thr
Rfam family: tRNA
About the family: Transfer RNA (tRNA) molecules are approximately 80 nucleotides in length. Their secondary structure includes four short double-helical elements and three loops (D, anti-codon, and T loops).
Source: RNAcentral
GCACUAGUAGCUCAGUUUUCAGAGCGCCGGUCUUGUAAGCCGGAUGCCGGAGGUUAAAAUCCUCCCUACUGCU